Molecule: long non-coding RNA, 300 nt
Organism: Anguilla anguilla (European eel)
Lineage: Eukaryota; Metazoa; Chordata; Actinopteri; Anguilliformes; Anguillidae
Exons: 2
Source: RefSeq, a predicted model, not a curated record
UCUGCAAACAAAAUGUUGGGAUGAUCAGGGAACCGGGUCGACGCAGAGGACGGACGGCUCUCACAGAAGUCUACCGAAAGGCAGCUAAAAGCAAUCCGGUAAUUCAGUCAGAAAUGAACAGGAAUCAGGAAGUACCUCCACAGUCCUCGUACUUCAGCUGGUCCAGCUGAGCAGUCUCGUCAUAGAGCUCCAGGAACUCCUUCAUCCCUUUGGUGUACUUCAUGUACGUCUCCAGCUCGUGCUUGUUGAAGGUGAUUUCUGCUUUCUCUGGGCAUGGGGUGUGUGAUAAACCUGGGGAGG